GACGAACGCUGGCGGCGUGCCUAACACAUGCAAGUCGAACGGAAAGGACCUGCUUUUGUGGGGUGCUCGAGUGGCGAAAGGGGGAGUAACACGUGAGUAACCUGCCCUUGACAUUGGGAUAAAAUCAGGAAACUGGGGCUAAUACAGGACAGGAGCUUCUGCUGCACGGUGGGGGUAGGAAAGUUUCGGCGGUUGGGGAUGGACUUGCGGCUCAUCAGCUUGUUGGUGGGGUAGUGGCUUACCACGGCUUGGACGGGUAGCCAGCCUGGGAGGGUGACCGGCCACAUUGGGACUGAGAUACGGCCCGGACUCCUACGUCAGGCAGCAGUGGGGAAUAUUGCGCAAUGGGCGGAAGCCUGAUGCAGCAUCUCCGCGUGCGGGAGGACGGCCUUCGGGUUAUAACCCGCUUUCGCCUGUAACGAAGCGUGAGUGACGGUAAUUGGUAAAGAAGCACCGGCUAACUACGUG
This 468-nucleotide ribosomal RNA is filed under the name uncultured bacterium. RNAcentral describes it as "partial 16S ribosomal RNA". It matches the Rfam family "Bacterial small subunit ribosomal RNA", at positions 28 to 507 of the family's 1533-position model. The record is from RNAcentral.